This 468-nucleotide ribosomal RNA is filed under the name uncultured bacterium. RNAcentral's name for it is "partial 16S ribosomal RNA". It matches the Rfam family "Bacterial small subunit ribosomal RNA", at positions 28 to 507 of the family's 1533-position model. The record is from RNAcentral.
GACGAACGCUGGCGGCGUGCUUAACACAUGCAAGUCGAACGGAAAGGCCCUGCUUUUGUGGGGUGCUCGAGUGGCGAACGGGGGAGUAACACGUGAGUAACCUGCCCUUGACUGUGGGAUAACUUCAGGAGACUGGGGCUAAUACCGGAUAGGAGCUCCUGCUGCAUGUGGGGGGUUGGAGAGUGUCGGCGGUUGGGGAUGGACUCGCUGCUUAUCCGCUUGUUUGUGGGGUAGUUGUUGACCAAGGGUUUGACGGGUAGCCUGCAUGAGAGGGUUAACGGGGACCAUGCGACUGCGAUACGCAGCAGUAUCGUAUGGGACGCAGCAGUGGGGAACCUGGCACAAUGGGCGGACGUCUGAGGCAGAGGCCCCGCGUGCGGGAUGACCGCUUUCGGGUUGUAAACAGAUGUCGAAUGUGCUGAGGCGGUAGUGACGGUACUGGGUCAAGAAGCCACGGCUAACUACGUG